This 483-nucleotide ribosomal RNA is filed under the name uncultured bacterium. RNAcentral describes it as "bacterial SSU rRNA". It matches the Rfam family "Bacterial small subunit ribosomal RNA", at positions 30 to 507 of the family's 1533-position model. The record is from RNAcentral.
UUGAACGCUGGCGGCAUGCCUUACACAUGCAAGUCGAACGGCAGCACGGGAGCAAUCCUGGUGGCGAGUGGCGAACGGGUGAGUAAUAUAUCGGAACGUGCCCAGUCGUGGGGGAUAACGUAGCGAAAGCUACGCUAAUACCGCAUACGAUCUACGGAUGAAAGCGGGGGAUCGCAAGACCUCGCGCGAUUGGAGCGGCCGAUAUCAGAUUAGGUAGUUGGUGAGGUAAAGGCUCACCAAGCCGACGAUCUGUAGCUGGUCUGAGAGGACGACCAGCCACACUGGGACUGAGACACGGCCCAGACUCCUACGGGAGGCAGCAGUGGGGAAUUUUGGACAAUGGGCGCAAGCCUGAUCCAGCAAUGCCGCGUGCAGGAUGAAGGCCUUCGGGUUGUAAACUGCUUUUGUACGGAACGAAACGGUGAGCUCUAAUACAGUUUGCUAAUGACGGUACCGUAAGAAUAAGCACCGGCUAACUACGUG